GGAAGGGGUGUAUUUAUUAGAUAAAAAACCAACGCCCUUCGGGGCUCCUUGGUGAAUCAUAAUAACUUAACGAAUCGCAUGGCCUUGCGCCGGCGAUGGUUCAUUCAAAUUUCUGCCCUAUCAACUUUCGAUGGUAGGAUAGUGGCCUACCAUGGUUGCAACGGGUAACGGAGGGUUAGGGCUCGACCCCGGAGAAGGAGCCUGAGAAACGGCUACUACAUCCAAGGAAGGCAGCAGGCGCGCAAAUUACCCAAUCCCGACACGGGGAGGUAGUGACAAUAAAUACUGAUACAGGGCUCUUUUGGGUCUUGUAAUUGGAAUGAGUACAAUUUAAAUCCCUUAACGAGGAACAAUUGGAGGGCAAGUCUGGUGCCAGCAGCCGCGGUAAUUCCAGCUCCAAUAGCGUAUAUUAAAGUUGUUGUGGUUAAAAAGCUCGUAGUUGAACCUUGGGCCUGGCCGUCCGGUCCGCCUCACCGCGUGUACUGGCUCGGCCGGGCCUUUCCCUCUGUGGAACCCCAUGCCCUUCACUGGCUGUGGGGGGAACCAGGACUUUUAC
RNAcentral lists this ribosomal RNA (556 nucleotides) under uncultured Sordariomycetidae. RNAcentral describes it as "SSU rRNA". It matches the Rfam family "Eukaryotic small subunit ribosomal RNA", at positions 194 to 755 of the family's 1831-position model. Lineage: Eukaryota; Fungi; Ascomycota; Sordariomycetes. The record is from RNAcentral.